RNAcentral lists this ribosomal RNA (253 nucleotides) under uncultured Actinomycetes bacterium. Its description in RNAcentral is "uncultured actinobacterium partial 16S ribosomal RNA". It matches the Rfam family "Bacterial small subunit ribosomal RNA", at positions 524 to 776 of the family's 1533-position model. Lineage: Bacteria; Bacillati; Actinomycetota; Actinomycetes. The record is from RNAcentral.
UACGUAGGGGGCUAGCGUUGUCCGGAAUCAUUGGGCGUAAAGAGCGCGUAGGCGGCCCGGUAAGUCCGCUGUGAAAGUCAAAGGCUCAACCUUUGAAUGUCAGCGGAUACUGCCGGGCUAGAGUCCGGAAGAGGCGAGUGGAACUCCUGGUGUAGCGGUGGAAUGCGCAGAUAUCAGGAAGAACACCAACGGCGAAGGCAGCUCGCUGGGACGGAACUGACGCUGAGGCGCGAAAGCGUGGGGAGCGAACAGG